This 502-nucleotide ribosomal RNA is filed under the name uncultured Glomeromycotina. RNAcentral describes it as "partial small subunit ribosomal RNA". It matches the Rfam family "Eukaryotic small subunit ribosomal RNA", at positions 591 to 1092 of the family's 1831-position model. Lineage: Eukaryota; Fungi; Glomeromycota. The record is from RNAcentral.
CCAAUAGCGUAUAUUAAAGUUGUUGCAGUUAAAAAGCUCGUAGUUGAACUUCGGGAUUUGCCCAUUGGUCAGGCUUAACUGUCUGUACUGGUGUGACGAGUUCCUACCUUCUGAGGAAUCUCCAUGUCAUUCAGUUGGUGUGGGGGGAAAUCAGGACUGUUACUUUGAAAAAAUUAGAGUGUUUAAAGCAGGCGUCCGUCUGAAUACAUUAGCAUGGAAUAAUAAAAUAGGACGGUUUGGUUCUAUUUUGUUGGUUUCUAGGAUCACCGUAAUGAUUAAUAGGGAUAGUUGGGGGCAUUAGUAUUCAAUUGUCAGAGGUGAAAUUCUUGGAUUUAUUGAAGACUAACUACUGCGAAAGCAUCUGCCAAGGAUGUUUUCAUUAAUCAAGAACGAAAGUUAGGGGAUCGAAGACGAUCAGAUACCGUCGUAGUCUUAACCAUAAACUAUGCCGACUAGGGAUCGGACGAAGUUAAUUUUUUAAUGACUCGUUCGGCACCUUACG